This 29-nucleotide non-coding RNA is filed under the name Homo sapiens (human). The record is from RNAcentral. Lineage: Eukaryota; Metazoa; Chordata; Mammalia; Primates; Hominidae.
UGGAAAGUUCCUUCUUGAGAGUGUCUGGA